UUUUUUUUUUUUUUUUUUUUUUUUCUCUUUGCCUUUUCUAGGGCCGCUCCCGCAGCAUAUGGAGGUUCCCAGGCUAGGGGUCUGAUCAGAGCUGUAGCCACGAGUCUACACCAGAGCCACAGCAACUUGGGAUCCCAGCCAAGUCUGCAACCUACAUCACAGCUCACGGCAACGCCGGAUCUUUAACCCACUGAACAAGGCCAGGGACCUAACCGAACCUGCAACCUCAGGGUUCCUGGUCCGAUUCGUUAACCACUGUGCCACGAAGGGAACUCCCAAGAACCAUUGCUUUUUAAGUGAGGCCUGAAAGUUGAGUUAUUUGAAAAGAGCGCAGUUUGUGGAAUAGUCCAAGAAAAUAAAGGCAAAGAGAAUUCUGUUAAGAUGGAAGAGUGGUUACUAGAUGCUGGAGAAAAACGCAACUGUGUCCCCCAGAAGCCUGACAUGAAGAAGUGUGCGUGUGUAUAUGCACAUAUACACGUGCUAGUAUUUCUGCGAAAAGAGGGAGAAAGAAUGGUGUUUGGAAAAGGACAAAAAGAUGGAGUCUGGGAAAUUAUUCAAGAGGGAACACUUCGGGAAGUUCCCAUCGUGGCUCAGUGGGUUAAGGAUCUGGUGUUGCCGUGAGCUGUGGUGCAGGUCCCAAACAUGGCUCAGAUCUGGCGUUGCAGUGGCUCUGCUGGCCUUUGCCAGAGCUACAGCAAUGUCAGAUCCGAGCUGAUUCUGUGACCUACACCACACCUCAUGGCAAUGCCAGAUCAUUAACCCACUGAGUGAGGCCAGGGGUUGAACCUGCCUCCUCAUGGAUACUAGUUGGGUUUGUUUCUGCUGAGCCGCAGUGAGAACUCCAUGUCUUUUUUUUUUUAAGUUUGGGUUUUCAGUAUUUUUGUUCAAGAGAAAGAAAGAUUAAACAGCUAGUAUAAACCCAGUGUAUUGUUUAUGUUACAAUGGAGGUAAUUAGGACCUAAGUCAUCCUACUUGGGCAACCAGUUUUCCACCCUACACUGGAAACUAUUUCUUUUUUCUUUCUUUUCUUUUUUUUUUUGGCCACACUUGAGGCAUCUGGAAAUUCCUGGGCGAGGGAUCUAACCUGUGCCACAGCAGUAACUGGAGCCACAGAAGUGACAAUGCUGGAUCCUUAACCCCUAGGCCACCAGGGAACUCCUGGAAACUAUUUCUAAAUCUUUAAGAAACAUACUCGGGUUUUUUUUGAGUGUGUGUGAAAUAUAUCUAACAUUUAUUGAAAUGUAAUGACAUGCACUGAAGCCAUCUUUUAAGUUUUUGUAGGGGUUAAAUGAGAUCAUGCAAGUAAAGCACUUGAGCCAAAGUAAGAACUCAGUAAAUUUGGUUAUGUGGCUUAUUUAUCUGUUCCAAACAGUAUUCGGAGGUAAAUGUUAUUGCCACAUUUGAGGUGGUAGCAGAAGCUCAUAGAAGUUAAGAAUUGAGUGCAGAGUUGAGGUUCAACCAAAUCACGUCUAACUCUGGAGCCAGCACUUUUAACCACUAUAUUAUGAUUCUUAUAUAAGCAAUUUUUCUUAAAGAUUCUGGGUGUUAUUGAAUUUUUUUUUUUUUUUUUUGUCCUCAGUGGGGGUGCAGGUAAGGGAAAACUUGAGAAAACUAUAAAAGUUUAUAACUGUAAAAAUUAUAAUAUAGGUACAUUUCUUAUCUUAAAAUAAUUCAAACUUAUCAUAGACUUUCUAAAUUUUUGUAUUAUGCUAGAUAGCCUCUAGCAUAAUUGAAAAAACAUAGCAAGAUAAAUUUAAAAGGGUGGGGAAAAAAAAAAACUACUGACAAAUAGGUAAAAUGGGUGAAUUUUGGUUUUCUCAUAAAGAUUUCUUAUUUAGGAGAUCCCAUCAUGGCUUAGUGGUUAACAAACCCGACUAGGAUCCAUGAGGAUGCAUGUUCGAUCCCUAGCCUUGCUCAUUAGGUUAAGGAUCUGGCAUUGCCGUGAGCUCUGGUGUAGGUCACAGAUGUGGCUCAGAUCCUGCAUUGCUGUGGCUGUGGCGUAGGCCAGCAGCU
This 2013-nucleotide long non-coding RNA is filed under the name Sus scrofa (pig). RNAcentral's name for it is "lncRNA (ENSSSCG00060037726.1)". Lineage: Eukaryota; Metazoa; Chordata; Mammalia; Artiodactyla; Suidae. The record is from RNAcentral.